UACGGGGGGGGCAAGCGUUGUUCGGAAUUACUGAGCGUAAAGGGCUCGUAGGCGGCCAACUAAGUCAGACGUGAAAUCCCUCGGCUUAACCGGGGAACUGCGUCUGAUACUGGAUGGCUUGAGAUUGGGAGAGGGAUGCGGAAUUCCAGGUGUAGCGGUGAAAUGCGUAGAUAUCUGGAGGAACACCGGUGGCGAAGGCGGCAUCCUGGACCAACACUGACGCUGAUGAGCGAAAGCCAGGGGAGCAAACGGG
This 253-nucleotide ribosomal RNA is filed under the name uncultured bacterium. Its description in RNAcentral is "partial 16S ribosomal RNA". It matches the Rfam family "Bacterial small subunit ribosomal RNA", at positions 524 to 776 of the family's 1533-position model. The record is from RNAcentral.